AAACCAUUCCAUGGUUCUCUGAUUCAAACAAAGCAUUUUUCAUGCUGAUGAUCAUACUAAGCCAUUGCUGCUCAUUUUCUCUACCCUGUAUUCUGCAGUCGAGUAAAGGAGCAGGCGUGAAGGGAUUUGCCAAGUGAACCUGAGAGAUGACAGCUUUUAAACUUGUUUGUGUCCCAGCAGUUUUGCAUUUAGCCCAUCAGCAUGUGAUGCUCUUUACUGUGCAAAACUGGCUUUAUGGAGUUAUUUGCAAGAUGACUUCAGUGGGAUGGAAAAAUCUUCCUCCAGGCAGAUGUUCCCAUCCUCAUCUCUGUUUGUUUCUCUAAUGUGUGUGUUGCAUGUAUUUUGCAAGUAAAUAAAUGCCUUUAGUUUUGAGUUGCGAAGAGAACUAAAGCAUCUCUUCUGUGCUUCCUUUCUCAGCAAAAGGUAUGAGAGGAGGGAAGUGUUAUCUGACCCCCAGAUGUUAUCCUGAGCCUGCUCCCUGGCAAGGAUGAAGGCUCCAGGAGACUUCUCCCACUUCCCAGCUUGAUGGUAGGACUGUGCAGAGCAGCUGGGAGGAGUUUCUCAUUACAGGGACUGGUUUCCUCAGCCUCUUUUAAUAGGUCCUCUGUGCUGUGGCUAAUACACGGUGCCUGGGAGAGUGAGUGGCCACGGUGCAGCAUCCUUCUCACAGCAAGAGGGCUUUGUGGGAUGACUGUUCUCCGUAUCCUCGUGGAAGUUUGAUCCCUAUCUCCGCCCUCGCUAGUUAUUCCUGUGUGAAUAGAAUAAGCUAAAAUCUCCUGCUGGUUUUGGCACUUCUGAGGUCCUCAUCCCAAGAGGGACAUCGUGUGAGCCGUGGUGGAGGUGAAGCCGGAGCUCGCUGCUGGGAAGGAGGAUCCCAUGGUGCUGGAUGUGGGGACGUGGGUGCUGCUGCCGUGACCCCCAUGGUUCUGCAGUGGUUUGUUCCCCAGGGUGGGAUCUGUGGCUGCUGUCUGAAAGGCUCUGGGAUUUGGGCAGGAAAAGGGCCUGGUCAAGGCCAGGUUGGACACAGGGGCUUGGAGCAGCCUGGUCUAAUGGAAGGAGUCCUUGCCCAUGGCAGGGGCAUUGGAAUGGGAUGGUGCUUUCCAAGCCA
Long non-coding RNA from Neopsephotus bourkii (Bourke's parrot), 1108 nucleotides. RefSeq lists it as uncharacterized. NCBI's taxonomy places the organism in Eukaryota, Metazoa, Chordata, Aves, Psittaciformes, Psittacidae. The record is from RefSeq and is a predicted model, not a curated record. The transcript has 3 exons.